CAUGGUUCCACGCGUACAUGAUGUCUCUGUCAAACGAUGUGAUUGCUCGGUGUGAAAUGAAUAUUUAUUGACGUGAAUAUCGCCGAUUACGACAAUCUGACAAUCCAAGUCUGAAAUGUUUUGCUGUGUUUAUGAAUUAUAAAUCUUAUAAAUCGUCAUGUCUGCUAUCAAGGAUUAAGGAUAAUAGAAACUUGACAAAUGAAGAAAUAAAGUUCUAAUAAAUAUGGAUGGAGAGAUUUAUUGAGCAGAUAAUUCAUUAGGUAUCAAGAGAAAAAGAAAUUUUUUAUGGAAAAUUUCUAGAAACUUCGUGAAGCAAUGGCAUUGUUUUAAAGAUUCUUCGAUAAUUCAUUAAUCGAUUUCUAAUUAUACUUUUUGGAUUUCAUUCAACUGUAAAUGUUUUCAAGUUUAUAAGGUCAUGUUGAAAGGAGGACUCGAUGGAAUUUAUUGGCUUUUAUUGGAAUAUGGCUAAAAUGAAGGUCUUUCAGUCGGUUUUAGAAAUUUCUAGUUAGUCAUAUUUCCAAUUUAAUAGAGUUAAUGCUUAUCGAUUUCCUUCGAAAACUCGGUGUCUUUAACAUUGAAACUUCGUUAUUUUAUUGAGACAACGUCGAGGAAACGCGAUUAUGAGUUUCAAAUGAAAGUUUCAACGCCGUCCAAAUGCAAGAAUCGAGGACAAUCUACAGCGAUGUCGACCCACUUGCAACUAAAAUUUAUUACUCCCAUCCGAACCCUAUCAUCUUCGAUGUGGUGAAAAUAGCUUUUCUUCUUUCUCAUGAUGCUCAUUUCCGCUUGCAUGAACGAUGUCGGUUAUUUUCCAUCUUCGCACUUCGUUCCAACAUUCAUCUCAUUUCUUCCCGUUUUUAUUCUCACGAUUGCAGUAUCGACUGAAAAGAAAUACCGAGUAAAAAAAGUUGCUAUGACAUUUUAAUUGAUUUUGAUUAAUAAAAAACUUUUUAGAAAAAAACUUAUUCAUCAUUAAAUGAAGCUUAAUUUUACACUUAACUUUUAACUUCAGAAGAACCAUUUUACAAAAAGAAAUUAUAUUUCUCACACUCUACUUAGAGUAUCAAAUCGAUAGAAAAUUAAUAUUCUCUGCUCUGCGAUAAAAUUAACGCGAAAAGAAUUAUAUUUCUCCAUCAAAUGUUUUUGUCGCUGAAGAAAAAAAAAAAAAAAAAGAAUGUAUUCCGCAUGGUUUGUUAUGCAAACGAGCAGAAGCUGUGCAGGGUCGGCUCGAAUUGGAAUCUCCCUUGCGAAUCAGUCUGAAAACACUUGGCCGAACAGAACGAACGAACUGUCAAGCGAAGCACGUAUGUUCCCUAAUUACACGCACGGGACGCGUGCGUACACCAUUUCGAACAAGUCCGAAGCCCUUGGUACAUCGGUUCGUUACGCACCGGAUCGGACUACAAUUUACGUAGUCGUUUACCGUGCCCCGGCACGCUUGUACGCGUUAAUCGUGACUUAUUUCGAUUCUUCGAUUGUAACCGCGUUAACGCUUGCAAAUCUGUUUCCAUUUUACUCCUAUUCUCUUACCGCGUGUUCGAUCCGAAGGGAGAAAGCGAAAUCAGAGAGGAUUAAAUUCGAGCGUAAUUAUUAGAUUGAUGAGAAUUUCGUUUUUUACAUCGUAAAUAUAGCAGAGGUUUCUUUUUUUUUCAUUUUUGGAGAAAUUUAAACGUACAAUUUGUAGAUAAUAAAUUAAUAAUAAAUUAAAAACGAAGAAAUGGUUUAUUAAAAUUUAGAUUAAUUUUUGAA
Molecule: long non-coding RNA, 1749 nt
Organism: Apis mellifera (honey bee)
Lineage: Eukaryota; Metazoa; Arthropoda; Insecta; Hymenoptera; Apidae
Exons: 4
Source: RefSeq, a predicted model, not a curated record